RNAcentral lists this ribosomal RNA (673 nucleotides) under Systellaspis debilis. Its description in RNAcentral is "SSU rRNA". It matches the Rfam family "Eukaryotic small subunit ribosomal RNA", at positions 1144 to 1804 of the family's 1831-position model. RNAcentral also lists the same sequence under 1 other name. The record is from RNAcentral. Lineage: Eukaryota; Metazoa; Arthropoda; Malacostraca; Decapoda; Oplophoridae.
UUAAAGGAAUUGACGGAAGGGCACCACCAGGAGUGGAGCCUGCGGCUUAAUUUGACUCAACACGGGAAACCUCACCAGGCCCGGACACCAGAAGGAUUGACAGAUUAAGAGCUCUUUCUCGAUUUGGUGGGUGGUGGUGCAUGGCCGUUCUUAGUUGGUGGAGUGAUUUGUCUGGUUAAUUCCGGUAACGAACGAGACUCUGGCCUGCUAACUAGUCGACGUGGGUCCGCUGUGCACGGGCCCCGUAUCGACCCUAUAUCUUCUUAGAGGGAUGAGCAGCGAGUCUAGCUGCAGGAGAUUGAGCAAUAACAGGUCUGUGAUGCCCUUAGAUGUCCUGGGCCGCACGCGCGCUACACUGGACGGGUCAGCGGGUUCGCCUUCUCCGAGAGGAGCGGGAAAUCGCUGCAAACCCGUCCGUGAUAGGGAUUGGGGCUUGCCAUUGUUUCCCAUGAACGAGGAAUUCCCAGUAAGCGCAAGUCAUCAGCUUGCGUUGAUUAAGUCCCUGCCCUUUGUACACACCGCCCGUCGCUACUACCGAUUGAAUGAUUUAGUGAGGCCUUCGGACUGGCGGUCCUGGACUGGGUUCCGCUCUCCGGCGGACCCGGCCACCACUCGCCGGAAAGAUGUCCAAACUUGAUCAUUUAGAGGAAGUAAAAGUCGUAACAAGGUUUCC